UAAGAUUCUGUUGGAGAGCCAUCCAAUCAAAUCAAGAGACUUUCCAAAGCAUCUGUAUGGGCUGUUUCCAUGGAGCAGCAGUUUUGUACUGAAGCUUUAAAUCAAAUUCCAACUCAAUUGUGAUCUAAGCUAUUCGGUCGGCAUCCUUCAGGCCUGGGGGUAGCUCAGACACAGGACUGUCUCUCAACUUCUCUUGAUUCUACCAUGUGCCAGCUCAUCUGUCAUCUCCUCAACUGUGUGCUGAGAUUCUGACGUGCUCACUAGGAUUUCCUUUCGGUGAUGAAAAACCACAGUGCCGAAUAUGCACGAGGGAACUGCAGCUUUUCCGGAUGGGCUCUACUGGUGUUGUGCAUAUUGUAGGAAUGGGUCUGGGAACUGCAGUGUUAAAACUCAGUGAUUUCAAUGGGUUACAAAAUGAUACCCAACAGGGGUGCAUGCAACCCAAAUCAUCUUUGUGGAAGCUAUUACUAAUAGUGUCCCCAGGGAUGACAACUCCUCAGGGGGAUGUCUCACUUACAUCAAUGUCAUGUUGCCAUUUAUAACGCAUCACUUUCUAUAACAGAGGCCUACCAUGCCACAAACAUGGAACACUUCUCUGGCAGCUCUCAGCUCUCCAAACUGCUUUGGGCAGGACCCUGAGACAGACAUGCUUCAGUCCAAUCUGCUAUUCAACAGUCCCUACUGCAAGACCUGCAACUGCCUAAAACUACGAACCUGUGACUUGACAGUCUCUCCAGCUUUCUAGCACACCCUCUGCUGCCUGACUGAUCCAGGUUGAAUGUCAUGCGGCCAGUGUCAGAGUUACACCUGUAAUCCUAGCACUCAAGGAGCUGAGGCAGAAGGACUACUGUGAGCUCAAGGUCAACCUGGGCUACAAAAGGAUGGCAAUAACCUAUCUACAGAUAAGACCUCGCGGUGUCACCCAGCACACCCUGUUACUGCACACCCUGGCUGAAGCGCCAUCAAGGUAAAACUUCAGAGCUGAUAUUUGGUCUCUGACGCUGAAGCUGCCCUCUGAGAGGCAUAUGGAAAGCCCUAGAAGCACAUGCCUCUGGGUGGUAGGACUAUAGGAUAUUUGGAUUUUUAUGACUUGAUUUGUAAUUGUUUUCAUAUAGAAUAGUCUAUACAGUUGGAGACUUUUUUUUUAAAGAAAUACAACAUACUUAGAUUUCUUCUUCAGUUGUGAUAGGUCACAGAACAAAGAUCCAUUUUCUAAUGCCAGACUUUCUGUACUACCUUUCAGUCCGUCUGAUGUUAGUUGUAACAUAGCCCCAGGCAUGCUAUCUGUGUUUCUACUCUUCAUGGAGGUGGGAACAAAGGGAAGAAAGGGACAUAGCCAUGGUGCAAUUGUUCAAAACCAGGGAGAAACGACCAAGGAGUAACUCAAACAAAUAAGACAAGUCGGAAGUUAGAAAAUAGGUAUGGAAACUUGUAACAGACACCCAAAUGACUAGCAGUUUGUGGUAUCCUAGGCACACUGCCUUCCACCAGCAUCUCGCACUGAUGACAGUCCCACUCAGUCUAGAUGAUCCUACCCAAGGCCAAGAGGGACACUGGUAAGGGAUGAACUCUGGUUCUGCUUCACACUCAACAUUCCUGACUGGGCCCACAAUGAUCAUGAGGUGCAGAUGAUCGAAGCGCUAAAAAUGUAACAAAAAGCUGGUUGCUUCAGUACCUAAAAUGUAAGAGGAAACCAUCCAUUUUAGGUAACACUCUAACAUCAGCAGGGCAGAUAGUCUUGCCAGUAAAGUACUCUGGGGCUCUAGAGCCACCCAGAGCAGCAAGAUAAAGAUUUCUCUAGAAGUAAGAAACUGAGCUAAGCAAAUGCCAGUAAUUAUAAUGUAAGUAUAAAGCAACGGAAAGGCAACACACUCCUCAUUCUUUAAGUUUAUGCUCUGAAGAACUCCUUAUCCAAACCUAGCAGCAAGCUAUCUUUGUAUCAUGACCAUAAAAAGCUCCCAGGCCACUAAACCUUUAACGCUUGCAACUGCCAGUGGAGUUUUAAAAUCAAGGGGUGGUAUGCAGCCAAUCUGAGCUGAAACUCAGGCCGAUAAACCCCUAACAAGCUCCCUCAGGAGUAAGGUGGCAGAGGGGACAUCAACAUACUAUGUUGAGGGAAUCUUCCCCCACAAAAAGGGAAACAAAAUUCCCAUCUUAAGAACAAGUUUUACAUUUUAAACACCACAGACAACAUUUUCCAAAACAUUUGUUAUUCUGCACUUACAGGGAAGCAGAGCAGUGUCUCCAGAGUUUGAGAGUUCUUGUUUGCCUACUCCACAUGGAGUGUUCUAACACUGGCCACACUGCCCUAACCCUUUUCUCUCGUAGCUAUUUACCUUACUUACUUCAUCUCCUGUGCUUAGCAGUGAUUAGCAGGAGCAGUGCAAUGUGAAUGGAUGUGUGGAAGGAUGACUUCUGCCUGGAACUGGGCAUGAGACUCAGAGGGCUCUGUAGCCUAUGGGGAAAUAGUGUCAAAACACAUGCCUUUCUUAGGCCAGGAGCCCAGAAGACACUACCUGUCCUUUUGCCCAAUAGGUGUAGAAGCCAACAUGUAUGUUAAGGAAUGCCCUCUUUCAAAACACGCAUACUCCAAGAAACUGAUUCUACAAAUGCAGAAGCACCAAGCAGGUGUUAACACUGUUGUCAUUUAGGACAACUACAUUUUAAACAGACUCUACAUUGAUAAUUAAGAAACAUUUAGAAAGUACUUGGGUUUAAGAAUCCAGCUGUCUCUAUCUCUGGCUGGACUAAAAUUUCUAACAGACUGUUCUGAUCCACCAUCUUAUAAUCAUGAACUCUGAGCAGGGGUGGCUACAAAGAACUUUCCAUCUAAAGAUUCUGUCAUGAGGACAACCUGCAUGGGUCUCAAAUAUGACUAUAGUAUCAGUUCUAGAACAAAUCAAAUACCAUUUAAAAAUAAUUAACACAAAUAACACAUUUGUUCCAGCUUUAAAGUCUUGGAAAACGCUUGAGAAUAAGCAUGUGCAAACUAGCACUAACACAAACUGUGACCAAUAAUUACUAAAAUGACACAACAGCCAAUGUUUACUGGCAGAAGGUCAAUCAAUACAAAACGGUACAUAGUACACAUUACCAACUCCUAAAUGCAUCUUAAGUUCAGACAAGGUAGGUAGCAGCACUCCGCCCUUGACGUUGGUUUUGUAGGAGUGAGAAGCCGGUGUGUCAAUCUUAGAGACGGAUUAGUAGGAAGCACAUGGGAAGCACUCUCCCGUGACUACUGAUUUGAGACCUGCGAGCUGGGCAGGGAGGGAGCAUAGAGGGGAAGAAGAAGGAAACACGUACCGUGCAAAUGUGAGGCCAGUGUUCAAACUGCUGUAAAACUCCUUGGUUAAGGUCUUCUUUAUAAAACUCUUUGUAAAAAUGUGGAAGCUUAGAGAUCCAAAUGCCAUUGUUAUGCUUGUCUAAUAUUUCCUUUAUGCGGUUUUGAACCUCAUCCAUCUUAUUAGUGUAAGAGGCAGGAGGCGUGACAUUUGGUUUCUCAACAGUCUGAUUUAAAUUAUCUUUAAAUUAAAAGAAUGAUAGAAUUAAUAGAUUAUUCCAUUACCUAGCAUUUGUGUCUCUGACUUUGCUAUGCUCUGGGCUCUGGGGUCCUGGAUUUGGAAGAAGGUGGGACUAGGCUGAGCAGCACUAAGGACCACCUCACCUAUUACCCCUGAAUUAUAUAACAUUGACCACCAAUGAGGGAGCUUCUCCAUUUUGCAAGGAUACUUUAUAGUUUGCUUUGAACAUUAUGGCAAUCUUGUUGGGUAAAAAAUAAUCUUUUACUAUUUAACUAAUGUUUUUCUAACAAAAACUAAGGGACACGACAUUUUAGAUAAUAUAAAUAUAUGUGCUCAACUGAAGCUAUAAUCCACGAGGCACAAAAAUAAUGCCUUAGAAGGAAGAGUGCUUUUAUAAAAGAUAAAAAGGUGCCCAGGUUUCCCAACAAUGGUGAACUUGCUCUUUAUCUAAGGCAAACAAUUUAGCAAUCCACAGGAGCCUGGAAUCUACAAAAACUGAUCCCAGCUAGUUUAUGGACAGCAACUGCAGCUCUGGCUUCUACCUCUUCAAUAUUUAUCGUUCAUAAGGUUUUAGCUGGCUUCUUUUGCUCCUGUUUAUUUUUUUAUUUAAAACUCAGAGUGCCGGAGUUUACAUACUAAGCAAGAGAAACUUGUGCAUUACUGUGACCAUUUUGGUAUUUUAACUAUGGAAAUAAUGUCAAACCUCUAUAGCAUUCUAUCAGAAUAUUAAAUCAAAGUAUUAAAAUCUAACACCUACAUGAAAAAAUUUAUUUACAAUUUAAUCAGAUAUCUUUUUUGCUAAGUAUAGUCAUUUUUAUUUUCUUUUUGAUUAACUAAUAGAGAAAUAUAGUCUAGUUUGGGGACACUGGUCUCUAAAGAUAUCAGGUACCAAAAAGAGUUUUCCUUGUGGAUCCUUAGAGAUUACUCCUCUCUUCUCACUAGAAGACACAAGGAUGUGCCUCUGACACCCUUAGACUGGCACAGAGAGGAGAAGGGUCCAGGAUAUGCAGAACUGUUUCCUAUUAAGGAAAUAACUUACUCUAUUUUAAACUCCCAAAGAGGCAUAUAACUUCACUGAGUAGUCAUGAUUUAGAAAACUGAUAUGUAAAAGUAGUUCUUAUGUAUAUGAAUCAUACUAUUCAUUUUCAUAAUCAAUACCGUAAGAACACUCCUGUGGAAAAGGCAUUUGACCUCAAUUAGAGACGUACUGCAAGCAACAAACCCUGUCCAGUCAUUUCAUGGAGCACACAGCCAGCCCUCUAGAAAGCUGCCUUUGGUGAGAGUACUCAGUGUUUGCACAAGACAAGUCCAUGAGUGGUGUAUGUCUAACCAGCAACCAGCAGCUUCCUUGGCUUUAUUUACUAUCCUACUGUUUUCCUGGUGGCCCUUUUCAUUUCAUAACCAAUAAUUACUUAUACCUAGCUGUCAUCUCACAGUUUAAAAAAAAUUUUAAUCUUUAUUUUUAUUUUAUGUGCAUGGCUGUUUUGACUGCAUGUAUGUCUGUGCACCUCCACAUAUAUGUGGUGCCUGCAGAAGUAAGAAGAGGGUGUCAGAUAUUCUGGGACAGGAACCAUGUUGUUUUGGGAGUCAAACCUAGAUCCUUUGGAAGAAAAGCCAGUACUCCUAACUUCGGAGUUACUUCUCCAGGCCCCACACCUCCCAGUUUAUAGUGCCAACUUUUACUAAUACAGCAUCUUAAGCCUCUCUUAUGAGUUUAAGCUCUACAUUUAGGACCUUGAAACAAAGCAGGGAGUUUCCUUAAAGUGAAGCCUCCGAGUGCCAAGUCUUGAGGGUUCACCCUCUAAUCAGGGAGUGGGUGAGGAAAACAGGUAACUGUACAGGGGACACCUGGACAUGGAGCAGAAAGGGUCUGUUGAGAUGAAGGCCUCACUUCACACUGACAAUAUCGCUAGAAGCAUUAUUUUCUCUAAAGAUCACUUCAAUCCCUGAGUUUAAAGUUAGAAAGGCAGUGAGGGAGAUAAAUCUCAUGCAAGAUAAGGUGAGAGCACACAUCAAAGCCAACAUUCGAUUAUUUCUGUUGGGGCCCAAGACUCAUGCCACAUCUGGAAACAUACCAUUCACUUCCUUAGGGCAGGCCCGUGAGAUGUGUGUCUGGAAAGGUGCUGGCAGGGAUGACUUUGGACUGAACCUAAGGUGUGAAAACAGCAAGUUUUAAACACUCUACUUUUCAUUUAAAGUCCCCAUGUCACUGACCAACAAAAUAACAUGCAAAUAUUACAAAAUAAGAACACAAAUUUGGCAUCAUAUUUCAUAUUUACUCAGAGAAAAGUAUGUUAAAAACUAAGUUUAAAGUAGGUUUUUGAAAGUCUCUUUCAGAACCUGGAGUCAGAGUUUCAACUAAUCUUUAAAGGAAUAAAUAAAUAAAAGCACAUGAAGAAUAAACGCUUACAGACUAUUUGGAACAUAACCCCGUGUGAAAGCUUAGCCGCAGUGCAGAGUGGGCAGGUGAGCGGGCCCUUUAAACGGGUGCUGGAGUGAGAAGCACAGCCCUUCAGACACAGGUUCUCGGUAAUGAAAGUAGAGUGUUAAAGUAGGCAGGCAGGCUGCUCCAAUCACCUAAGAGAGGAGAGGCAGACACCUGCCUACCUCAUAGCCUUCCAACAUAAUUUACCAUCAACUACUGUACUUACACAGGAAGAUGUUUCCAAACACGUGUAUGAACAAACCACACCCACAUGCAUGCAUGCACAUACACCCACACACAUCCAUAUGCUCCUCCACAUGCACCCCAUAUCAACACCCCCACAUUCUCAUUCAUGCUCAUUCUAUUCUCUCAUUCCCUCCCCCAACUCCCUCUCUCCUUCACUAGUGUCCCAGGCUCUUGAGUAAUGCUUAGUACUAGCAAGGGAGAGUGAGUGUUGUAAGACUGGCUGAAUGAACCAUGAUCAGAGGAAACAGUGACCACAUUUUUCUCAUUAGGGGAGGCAGUUACAAUUUUGAGCAGCUCGAGAGAUUUAAAGACUAAGCAGUUUCAAAUGAAGCAUAUUUCCUAAUGGUAUUUUAAUUCUACAAGAAGCAAUCAGUCUGUCAACUACUAAUCAGGGCUUUUAGCACACAUCAUUGCUGGCAUUACACACCUCUGCAUCAGCCUAUAUAAGUGCUCAACAGAAAAUGCCAAAGCAUAUCUUUCUACCAAACCAUUUUUUAAUUAAUUUUUCCUAUUUUAUUUAGUAUCUAGAUGGAAAGUUUCUGAAGAAAAAUUGAUCUUUAUCCCAAACAGACACUGCUUUAAAGGAGUAUGAUAUCACAAAUUUACAAAAGGUACAACUUUCGACUUGGAAGGAAGAUGGGACACUGAUUUAUCAGUGUCAGAGCUCAGCAUGUGUUUCCUGUCAGGAGGCCAUCAGGACAGACUCCAGGCUCUGCACAACCCUCAGCUCUGCCACUGCAGCACAAAGCAGCCCCAGUCACACAGGGACAGAUAUGGCCAUGCUCCUGUAAAGCUGACUUACAAAAGCAGACAGUGAGGUUUUGGACUGUAGCCCAUAAAUUGUAGCUUGCUGGCCUCUGGGUGACUUCUUAAAACCGUAACACUUAGAAAUAGAAAGAAACCAUUUGAUCAACUACGUGCAUGCUUUCACUGGACAAGUAAGGAGUCCUCUGCACAACAGAAAAUAAUGAGCUUACUGUUGGCUGGCUCGUGCAUGGCCACACCCAAGUCGAAGCUAGGAGUGCCUUGGCAGUAGUCCAGUUCCAUGGCACAAAUAUCCCGGAUGCCAGUGCACCAGGAUUAAAUGCUACUACCUGACUGUGGUAAUUACCAGAGCAACAGUGAAUGAAUAUACAGCUAAAUGAGAUUUUACCUGAAACUCACCACAUGUAAGAACAAUUUUGUAGAAAAAUUUGAAAAUUACAUAAAAUGGCAUCUUAGAAGAACUUAUUAGAUGUGUACAGCUGACUGGACAUGGAGGGAUGGCAACAGCAGGAGGAAACAGUACAGGGGAUCAUGGGGGAUGCCAUCAGGCAGUAAGAGGACCAACAGUGAUGCAUGUGAUGCAGGCGAUACAAAGAAAAUGCUUCUCCACAAGAACACACACUUCUAACACUUGUUACCCAGCUCUCCGCACUGCUCCCUUAAGCCAGACAAAGCCCAGGGUACCUGCUGUUGGCAGACAUGCUCACGUGCCUCUGCACUGGAGCGUCUGGGUAAGGUGGCAUGUCCACAUCAGCCUUAGCUCCCAAGGUGCUUCCUUUUUCUCUUAACAGCGUUGGAUUGGGUUUCUUGCUGAUAGAAUAGUCUGAAGCAAAUCCUGGUUGUCUGAGGGUUGCCUUGGGUUUCCCUAUAAAUUAGGCAGAUAGAACAGAAUCAGCGGGUUUCCUCAAACUAAAGCUUCAUUAUGUUGCUCCAGAUAUUUCUGUGGGUCACACUUCUCAGAACAAUUUGAAAAAACACAAGAAGGGGUCUCUGGUAGUGUUGAGUAGGGGAGAGACUAGGGAGUUUUGUGGAUGGGGUCUUGUCAGCCUCAUUAGCCUGUGUUUCCUUCUGCUUACUAUGUGAGCAUUCCCCAAGCAGCCACCAGUUGGUCUGAAGCCAGCAGGAUCCUCCUGCUUUCUCAGUCCACACAUUCUUCCUGCACCCCAAGUCUCCCAUCACCAUCAGGAAGCCCACCCUUCUCACUCUCAGCGAUGGCUGCUUCUGCCAUGAAAUCAUCUAAUACUUCAUAUCACUGUUGAACCACUGCUUGAGAAUCUGGUUUAAGAAUUUACUAUAACUUCCUAGAGAUAGGCAUCCAAAAAAGGCUAUUUAUCAUGUUUUUAGGCCAUGAAAUUCAUAUUUCUCUGAAAAAUAAAUUUCUUAAAACCAAAAGACAUAAUCUGCUAAGUACAAAACCCUAUCACAGGUUCUUGGUUCAUCCAACACUCUGGAUGAGGGUUCUUGUCAAAUCAGACUACAUUGGCUGUCCCACAGUCACCAUCAGCUGCAUUAUUCUGCACUGUGACCACUGGAUUUUGUAAGUCACAUUCAUCUUCAUCAUUUCAACAGAAAUCCCAGUUGCAGGAAUUUUCUCCUGACAUGUGGAUAUCAGUAAAAUGUUCAAUGAACAGUUUAUCAGGAACAUAGGCAAUAUUUCCAUAAGCCCUUAUGAUAAUGUACUCAGGAACAGACUUACCUUCUAGAAAGAAUGGCAUGGUUUUCUUCACUCUCAUCUGACAAUUAAUUUGUCGCCCUGUUUUCCUUUUAGAGGUCCUCUGACGAGCCACAAGCUGAGCAAUCCUCGCAGUCUCUGUGCAGGCUACAGCAUAGCAGACAAUCUGUGAGCAGCAGAGUGAGAGCAGGGCAUUCUGAGAGCCAGUUUGUGAAGGCCGAGUCCCGAAGGAUUCGUGUGUUCCCGCGUAUUCUUGCUGGCAAGAGGUCGCGCGGGACAUCUGGUGCCGAAACCCGGGAGAAACGCCACACCAUCGCCAGGCGCCAAGAGGGGGUCUUCCGUCUGCGGAAGGAAUCCAGAACUGUAGUGUUUAAAAGGAUGCUACAAGAGUGUGCCAGCUGCCUGAGUGGUUGCUGAGACUUGCUGAUCCUGGGAGCAUAAAGAUUCAGCUCUCCUGGUUCGGGUCCCUGAGUCAUUCCUCUGCCCCAAGAGGAAGAUGGAAGAUUCCCCCCUCAUCUUUUGUCAUCACAGAGAUUUUGCCGUUGCUACAGUCAGUGUUACCGCUGUGUGUGUCCCGUCCCACUGUGGCCUGCUCUCUGACCCUCUGUGCACUGCUGCUUGCUGGAGAAGACUGGACUCCAGCCGUUGCUGCCCCCCUCAUUUCCCUGGUGACUCUUGCUGCCUUAACUGGUGUUGUCAUCUUGCAGUCUGUAGCUUCACAAGAAUGCCAUCUGUGUGAAGCUGCUGUGGACUGGGGAACUCUGUCCUGGUUGUACAGAUCUCAGACAUGGUUCCAUUGGCUGCUGGUUGUUCCAGAGAUCCUGAACUGUCCUGGAAAAGACCUUGACACUUUCGCUACUAUUGUAGCAGCCAUUACUGCUGCAGAAAUUGUGUCUGCAGUGUCUGGAGUUAUCCUCCCCCAAUCUAUUGUUAGACAAGCACAGUGGGUGAACUUUCUGGAGUAGUUGCUAACAAUUAGGAAUUCUAAAUUUUAUUAUAGGAGCGGCUUGACUAUGGCUCUUGGUGGUAACAGCUGAGGUGAACCAGAUGAGGUGCCCACUACUUAUCGGGAGUGGCUCUGUUUAAUGCAGCCCUAUGCUGUGGAUAAGUGUUCAUGCUAUGGUUGGUUUGCAAACUCAGAUCUCAACAGAAACGUGACAAGGCCGUUAUCACUCAAGCACUUGUGGCCAUUGAACAAGGGGCCUCCCCUAAAAUUUGGUUAUCUAUCUUCAAAAAUUAGUCGGUAUCUGAGUUCUCUGCUCUUGCACCCCAUGGAUCUGUGGAUCCAUUGCACUGGGAUGAGAGAGACUCAAUGAUCCUUUGAUCAGCCCUUCCACAUCUGAGGUUUCCUCAUUGCACGCGAUAGGGUGAUCAUGAUUGUUAUAAAUAAAAUAAUAAGGGGGAGAUGUAGAGGGCCGCAAUAACAUUCGCCACCACAAGAUGGCGCUGGCUUCCACUGCGCCCCACGUGGAAAGCUGGGAUAGCUUUCGCCAUUACAAGAUGGCGCUGGCCUCCGCUGCGCCAGCCGACUUCCUUUCAGGAAGUUAACUGUGUGCGCAUGUGCAAGAGUGCCUUCGUGCCAGGUCUUUGCCCACUCCAGGGCGUGCUUAAUGAGAUCAUGGGUAAGCAACCAAUCAGGUGUGGAUGCGCCGCGCUAGGGUGUAUAUAAGCUGCGCCAUGCUGGCGCCGGCGCCCUCUCUAUUAUUAAUAAAUAUAAACAUUUGGCUACAGAA
Molecule: non-coding RNA, 10362 nt
Organism: Rattus norvegicus (Norway rat)
Lineage: Eukaryota; Metazoa; Chordata; Mammalia; Rodentia; Muridae
Source: RefSeq, a predicted model, not a curated record